Molecule: unclassified non-coding RNA, 414 nt
Filed under: soil metagenome
Description: partial contains 5.8S ribosomal RNA, internal transcribed spacer 2, and large subunit ribosomal RNA
Rfam family: 5.8S ribosomal RNA (bases 1-121)
Source: RNAcentral
GAUGAAGAACGUAGCGAAAUGCGAUAAGUAAUGUGAAUUGCAGAUUUCCAGUGAAUCAUCGAAUCUUUGAACGCACCUUGCGCUCUUUGGUAUUCCGAAGAGCAUGCCUGUUUGAGUGUCAUGAAAAUAUCAACCUUGACUUGGGUUUUGUGCUCUAGUCUCGGCUUGGAAUUGGGUGCUUGCCGCUUUUACGAGCGGCUCACCUUAAAUGUAUUAGCUGGAUCUGUCUUUGAGACUUGGUUUGACUUGGCGUAAUAAGUAUUUCGCUAAGGACAUUCUUCGGAGUGGCCUCGUUUCUAGGACGCUUGUCCGCUUUCCAAUACAAGUUCCACCUCGUGGACAUGACUUUUUAUUAUCUGGCCUCAAAUCAGGUAGGACUACCCGCUGAACUUAAGCAUAUCAAUAAGCGGAGGA